AUAUAUCAUAAACAUCGAUAUAACAAUGAAGCACACCUCAUCCCAAUUCUUUACAAAGACCCUCCAUGUGCAACCACGCGAAAAGUAAAGAGCCUGAUAUGCCCAUGGCCAAGUACCCUCGACAAGUUCCUUUUGCUCAAACAUCUUCUUUGUUUCUGCUCUCCCCGUCAUCGCCUUCGGUGAGCAGCUGAGCCGAGAUACAGGUUUGUCACUGUUCCAUUCAUGAAACAGUAUUCAAUGGUGAAGUUAAAAGGUUAUGUUUAACAUGGAUUUGGGUUUAGAUGGGAGCCUAAGCACGGUUGAAACGUUGGCAUCGACUGCCCUUUGCGGUAUUCUAAACUCGAUAUUCGGUGGCCAACCACUUUUGAUUCUUGGAGUUGCAGAGCCAACUGUUAUCAUGUAUACAUAUUUGUAUAACUUUGCAAAAGGAAGAGAUGACUUGGGGCAGGAACUACACUUGGCUUGGGUCGGAUGGUAAAACGAGUCUCCGUUGUUAUAGGUUCUGCGAAAGUUUUGGGAAGUACUUGAUUUUCUAAGUUGAUAAACGUUUUGCAGGGUUUGUGUUUGGACUGCUCUCUUGUUGUUUCUGCUUGCAGUAUUUAAUGCUUGCACGGUAAUUAAUCGGUUCACAAGGAUUGCAGGCGAGCUUUUCGGCAUGUUGAUCAGUGUUCUGUUUAUUCAAGGGGCUAUAAAGUAUAAAGGUAAAAAUCUGAUCAAAAGAAAAUAAAUCAUCUACCAUAUGAAGUUCUAAACACCUACCGAUGAUUCGAUUGUAGGGGGUUGUGAGUGAAUUUCAAGUUCCCGAUCAUCAAGACGCGAAGUCAGAGAAGUAUCAAUUUCAAUGGGUUUACACAAAGGGAUUGUUGGGAAUCAUGUUCUCGCUUGGCCUUCUCUAUACCCCCUUGAAAAGUCGAAGGGCGAGGUCAUGGUGGUAUGGCACAGGUUUGUCAAGCAAACAAAUUCAUAGCAUUUGACUAUUUUCGGGUUUAGUAUACAAAAUAAGCUCUCAUAAAUGGCUGCUGAAUAUUGUACAGGGUGGUUUAGAAGCUUCAUUGCAGAUUAUGGGGUACCUUUAAUGGUUGUAGUGUGGACAGCGAUGUCAUUUAGUGUACCAAGCAAAGUUCCUUUUGGGUUCCAAGAAGGCUUUUUAGUCCUCUGCCAUGGGAACCUGCAUCAUCACAACAUUGGACCGUAAUUAAGGUAACCGUACUCGCUUAUCGUGUAUGUCUUGCAAGAAAAGGCUACAAGGUUCAAGGUUGACAGUGUUAUAAAUAAUCAAAUUGCAGGAUAUGGGAAGGAUCCCUCCAUUGUACAUCUUUGCUGCAUUUAUUCCAGCUGUGAUGAUUGCGGGACUUCACUUUUUUGACCACAGUGUUGCUUCGCGAAUGGCACAAGAAAAGGAAUUCAAUCUCAAGAAUCCAUCUGCAUAUCAUUAUGACAUCUUGCUGCUUGGAUUCAUGGUAAACCUCAUGCUCGAACGGUACCACCACCCGAAUUAUAAACAAUCUUAUCGUAUACUCACGUUUUACCACCGGGAACAUGCUUGCAGACUUUACUUUGUGGACUAAUAUGCCUCCCUCCUUCGAAUGGAGUCCUACCACAGUCUCCUAUGCAUACUAAGAGCCUUGCAGUUCUCAAAGGGCAGGUGGGUACGUACAUUCUAAAGCAAAGUUUCCUACCAGAUAUAAUUGACCUGGUUACAUGUUUAAUUUUUCGUGUACGAAAUGCAGAUCAUCCGAUAAAGAUGGUGCAGAGUGCUAAAGAAAGCAUAAAGCAUAAAGCUAGUGACUCCGAAAUAUACAGCAAGAUGCAAGCGGUGUUCAUCGAAAUGGACAAGAGUCCAGAAGUAAGUGAUCCUUUAUCUUGAAACAUUACAAAUGACAUUUUAGUCCACAACUCGUAGUUUUGCUUCAACUCCGAAUUGCUUGUCCGUAUUCUCCGAAUACAUAACGAUAAGUCUUAUACAAUGCCUGCAUCUGACCUUAACUAUUCCAGUUACAGACUGCAGUUAUUAAAGAGUUAGAAGACUUGAAGAAGGUUUUUAUGAGAGGUGAAAAUGAAGGAGAAAUAAAAAAGGAAACAUUUGAUCCUGAAAAGCAUAUCGAUGCCUACUUGCCAGUUUGAGUUAAUGAAUAGAGAGUGAGCAAUCUUUUGCAGUCACUCCUAGUGAUUUCGACGUUGAGAGAUGGAACUGUUGAAGCCGUGGCCUGCAUUGCAACAAAGACCAACAGCAGCAAAUUGUACAAUUUUAGCUGCUAUACUGUUUUGUAGCAAAGAAAUGGAGUUGGUUCAGUUAUAAAAUUAUUUUUUGAAUAUUUUGUUCCUAUGGAACUUAGCCUAAAUCUUUGUAAUGAGUUAGCUAAGUUAGUAGGAAAGAUUGACUGAUGUAAUAGCUGGUAUGCCAACUUUCUUUUGUAUACAAGUUGCUAUAUUUUUAGUAAGUAUUAAGUAAGAGCAGUUAAAUUAGUAGGUAACUGUCAAAUACUUUUGUAACCUUCAUAUAUUCAAAAUUUGAAUGAAAUUAUGAUGACUUUCAGUUACAAAUUUUCUUGCUGAGUUCUUUUCUUUUGUUUUUUCUUUCAUUCGUUUUUGCUUUCUUUGCUACUGCCAUUUAUCCAACAAAUGGUAUCAAGAGCUUUCAGUCUUUGAGGGCCUUGGUUGUACACUGUCACUAAGCAAAUUGUGUUUGAAACAAAAGAAGAAGAGGUUGUUUUGCUUGCUGAAAAAUGAGUUUUACACCACCUCCUCCACCUGUCUUUGCUGGAGAAAAUUACAACAUCUGGGCAGUGAAAAUGAGAACAUACCUGUAGGCACACGACCUGUGGAAUGUUGUUCUCAAUGACACUGAGCCACCACCACUAAGAGCCAACCCGACCAUAGCCCAGAUUAGGCAGCACAAUGAAGACUGUGCCAAGAAGUAUAAGGCUAUGUCGUGCCUUCAAAGUGGAGUCUCUGAUGUUAUCUUCACAAGAAUAAUGGCUUGUGAUACUCCAAAGCAGGCCUGAGACAAACUCAAGGAGGAGUUUCAGGGGUCUGACAAGACCAGGCAACAGCAACUGAUCAACAUGAGAAGAGAUUUUAAAAAUCUCAAAAUGAAGGACUCAGAAACCAUCAAGCAGUAUGCUGACAGAAUCAUGGCUACUAUCAACAAUAUAAGGAUGCUUGGGGAGGAAUUCAGUGACCAAAGAGUGGUUGAGAAGGUCAUAACAACCUUGCCAGAGAAGUAUGAAGCAAAAAUUUCUUCUUUGGAAGACUCAAGGGACUUGUCAACAAUCCCUUUGACAGAGCUUAUAAAUGCUCUUUUUGCUCAGGAGCAGAGAAGGGCAAAUAGGCAGGAGGACCACUAUGAAGGAGCUUUUCAGGCUAGAAGCAGAGAAAGCUCAAGUGCAAACUUAAAUGCCAAAGGCAAGAAGCCCUGGACUGAGAAGAAGAAGAAAGAACCUGUCAAAAGGAAGUUCCCACCUUGUGUCCAUUGCAAGAAGACUACUCAUCUUGAGAAAUCCUGCUGGUACAGACCAGACAUUCAAUGUAGAGCCUGCAAGCAAUUUGGCCACAUUGAAAAGGUCUGUAAGAGCAAGCCAAAACCACAACCACAGUUUCAAAGCCAAGCUCAAGCUGCAGAAGAGGUUGAAUCACCAGAAGAGCAUGUCUUUUCAGCAUCAUGCUUUGCAAGCUCGAGCAAAGUCAGUAAAAUAUGGUUGAUUGACAGUGGAUGUACCCACCAUAUGGCUUCUGAGAAAAGUAUAUUUAAGGAGCUUGACACCACCUUCAAGUCCAAAGUCAGAAUUGGCAAUGGUGAGCUGCUGGAGGCAAAAGGGAAAGGCAAGGCCUUGAUAAGCACCAAGUCAGGUAUUAAAACCAUUUCAGAGGUUCUCUAUGUACCUGACAUUGACCAAAACUUGCUAAGUGUUGGCCAGCUAUUGGAGAAGGGCUACUCUCUGAUUUUUGAAGGCAAGAACUGUUUGAUCAAAAAUGUUGCUGGUGAAUUGUUGACUACAGUGUCUAUGCAAGACAGAACCUUCAUUGUGGAUGUGAAUCAACUGCAGGCAAAGGCAUAUACAUCUCAGUCUGAUGAAGUAGAUUUGUGGCACAGGAGAAUGGGACAUGUGAACUACAAUUCAUUAAGUAUAAUGUAUAAAAUGGAUUUGGCCAAUGACAUGUCCAAAAUCGAGCCAAAGAAUGCUGUAUGUGAGGUCUGUCAGCUAGGCAAACAGACUAGAUUACCCUUUCCAAUCAACAAGGCAUGGAGAGCACAAGGGAAGCUUCAGCUUGUUCAUACAGACAUCUGUGGACCAAUGAAGACUACCUCCUUAAAUGGCAGCAGGUACUUUGUACUCUUCAUUGAUGAUUAUUCAAGGUUCUGUUGGGUAAAUUUUUUGAAGCAUAAGUCAGAUGUUUAUGACUCUUUCUGCAAAUUUAAAGCCUUGGUCGAAAACCAAGCAAAUUGCAAACUAAAAUGUUUGAAGUCUGACAAUGGUUCUGAGUAUGUAUCUCAGAAGUUUCAAAAAUUGUGUGAUGAUGCUGGAAUUCAACACCAAUUGACUACUGUGUACACACCACAGCAAAAUGGUGUUUGUGAAAGGAAAAACAGAACAGUCCUUGAUAUAGCUAGGUGUUUGUUAUUUGAGGCUAAAAUGCCUAAUGUUUUUUAGGCUGAAGCUGUGAAUACAGCUAUUUACCUGUUGAAUAGGUUGCCAACUAAUGCAGUCAAAGGAAAAACUCCCUUUGAAGCCUGGUUUGCACAGAAACCAUCUGUCUCUCAUUUGAAGGUAUUUGGCUGUCUAUGUUAUGUGUUGGUACCUGAGGAGAGAAGAACCAAGUUGGACAGGAGGUCCAUGCCUAGGGUGUUUGUUGACUACAGCAAUGUGAAGAAAGGAUACAGAGUCUUUGAUCCACUGACCAAGAAGGUUGCAGUGAGCAGAGAUGUGAAAUUCAGUGAAGCAAGUAGCUGGAAAUGGGAUGAAAUUGAAGCAAAUUUGCCUGAUGGAGAACAGAUUGAUGUUGAUCUGCAGCAAGCUGAAAAUGAAGAAGUAACUGAAAAUGGCUAUGAUGAUCAACCUGUUCGAGGCACCAGGACAUUAACUGACAUCUAUGAGAGAUGUGCAGUAACUAUAGUAGAGCCUUCAUGUUUUGAAGAAGCUGCAAAAGAAAAAUGCUGGCAGGAUGCUAUGGAAGCUGAAUUUAAAAUGAUUCAGAAAAAUGAUACAUGGGAGCUUGUAAACAGACCUGAAAACAGAAAAAUUAUAGGUGUAAAGUGGGUCUAUAGAAUUAAGAACAAUGCAGAUGGCUCUCUUAAUAGACAUAAGGCCAGACUGGUUGUUAAAGGUUAUAGUCAGCAGCAAGGGGUUGAUUUUUCUGAAACCUUUGCACCUGUUGCAAGGUUGGAUACUAUCAGAUUGCUGCUAGCUUUGGCAGCUCAAAAGCAUUGGAAGGUGCAUCAUCUGGAUGUUAAGUCAGCCUUUCUAAAUGGCUUUCUUAAUGAAGAAAUAUUCAUUGAGCAACCUGAGGGUUUUAAGGUCACUGGUGAAGAACAGAAGGUCUACAAGCUGAAAAAGGCUUUGUAUGGUCUAAAACAGGCUCCAAGGGCCUGGUAUGAGAGGAUUGAUGCUACUUAGCAAGGCUCGGGUUCACAAAGAGUAUCAAUGAGCCUACACUCUAUGUUAAGAAGGAUCAGGAGGAAACCUUGUUAAUUGUUUCCUUGUAUGUUGAUGAUCUGUUGGUUAUUGGCUGCAAAGAUGAACUUAUUGAAGACUUCAAGAAACAGAUGCAACAUGUCUUUGAGAUGACUGACCUUGGUCUGAUGACCUACUUUCUUGGCAUGGAGAUAAAACAAGGAAGUGAUGGCAUUUUCAUAAGUCAGCAAACAUUUGCUUCCAAGGUGCUUGAAAAAUUUUGCAUGUUGAAAUGCAAAUUAGUCACUACACCAGUUGCAUUGGGAGAAAAAUUGUCAAGUGCCAGUGAACAUGAUCGAGUAGAUGAGAAGGCAUAUAGAAGCUUAAUUGGUUGUUUGCUUUAUUUAACAGCAACUAGACCAGACAUUGUCUAUGCUGUUAGUCUACUUUCAAGGUUUAUGCACUGCAGUAAUGUGGCACAUCUGAAGGCAGCAAAAAGAGUGUUAAGGUAUGUCAAAGGAACCAUCGAUACUGGUGUGAAGUUUUGGAGGGCAAAGGAGCUGAAACUCGUAGGCUAUUCUGAUAGCGAUUGGGCAGGGUCAGUUGAUGACAUGAGGAGCACUUCAGGUUAUUUUUUCACCUUAGGCUCGAGUGUUUUCAGCUGGAGUUCAAAGAAGCAACAAAUUGUUGCACAAUCCACAGCAGAGGCUGAAUAUAUCUCAGCUGCAGCAGCAGUAAAUCAAGCCAUUUGGCUUAGGAAGAUUUUGGAUGAUUUGAAUGAAAGUCAAGUUCAGCCUACUGAGAUUAGAGUGGAUAAUCAAUCAGCUGUGGCCAUAGCCAAGAAUCCAGUCUUCCAUGGUAAGACUAAACACUUCAAAAUCAAAUUCCAUUUUAUUAGAGAAGCUGAGCAAUCUAGGGAGGUUAGCUUAGUUCAUUGCAGCUCAGAAAUUCAGCUAGCUGACAUUUUAACUAAACCAUUGGGAGCCAACCGAUUUAAUGCUUUGAAGGAAAGGAUUGGUGUUUGUUGCAUACAGACCAAGGAGGAGUGUUGAAGCCGUGCCCUGCAUUGCAACAAAGAACCAACAGCAACAAAUUGGUCAAAAGACCAACAGCAGCAAAUUGUACAAUUUUAGCUGCUAUACUGUUUUGUAGCAAAGAAAUGGAGUUGGUUCAGUUAUAAAAUUAUUUUUUGAAUAUUUUGUUCCUAUGCAACUUAGCCUAAAUCUUUAUAAUGAGUUAGCUAAGUUAGUAGGAAAGAUUGACUGAUGUAAUAGUUGGUAUGCCAGCUUUCUUUUGUAUACAAGUUGCUAUAUUUUUAGUAAGUAUUAAGUAAGAGCAAUUAAAUUAGUAGGUAACUGUCAAAUACUUUUGUAACCUUCAUAUAUUCAACAUUUGAAUGAAAUUAUGAUGACUUUCAGUUACAAAUUUUCUUGCUGAGUUCUUUUCUUUUGUUUUUUCUUUCAUUCGUUUUUUGCUUUCUUUGCUACUGCCAUUUAUCCAACAGGAACAUAACGAAACUUUAUAUCGAAGUUGAAAACAUUAUCAUCAAAUUCUUCUAAGUUAGACUCGUUUUCUUGCCUAAUAUUCACGUUGUAAUAUAAAGCCAUGGCAGUGCUUUGAUUUUUUGUUUUGUAUUAUGAUAUGAUUUUGAAAGUAAAGAAAUAAUACAUUUAUAGAUAGGUGUUAUAGUAAGGAAUUCAAUAAUGUUUUUAUAUGAUUUUUUUAAAAAUGUUGAACAUGAUUUUGAGAGAAAAAAAAAACCUUUCUGGCAUUGCCAUUAAUAAAACCUAAAACUCCGAAUCUAAACAUGAUUUUGAGAAAAGACCAAUUUGGUCGCUUACAGUUUUCAUAUAUCAUAGACAUCGAUAUAACAAAGAAGCACACCUCAUCCCAAUUCUUUACAAAGAUCCCCCAUGUGCAACGACACGAAAAGCAAAGAGCCUGGUAUGCCCAUGGCCAAGUACCCUCGACAAGCUCCUUAUGCUCAAACAUCCUCUUAAAACUGGUUAAGGACCAUUGAUUAAGCAGAAUGAAAACCACUGCAGAGAAAGUAGAUAGAAAACAGAAUUUA
This 7683-nucleotide long non-coding RNA is filed under the name Gossypium raimondii (Peruvian cotton). RNAcentral describes it as "long non-coding RNA (GRAI_LNC007181)". Lineage: Eukaryota; Viridiplantae; Streptophyta; Magnoliopsida; Malvales; Malvaceae. The record is from RNAcentral.